GGGCUCAGAAACAGAGAGGGGGAGGGGCUUAAGCAAGAACACAGAGUUAGUUAGGGGCGAUGGCAGCAUUGGCAUCAGAAUCCCGGUCUUCAAGGCCAGACACUUCCUUCUCUCUCUUCCACUGGCCUCACAAAACGUCACUUACACGGCCUGAAGAUUCUUUGUCUGACGGAUGAGUCUGUUUUGUGGAUCUGCCAGACAGGAAGUGCUAACGAGUGCCAGACACACAGAGUCACAUCUCUUCACUGCUCCAAAUCGGCUCUGGUGAGGUUUGGUGACAAGAUAGCUCAGGACUCUGACUUUAAAAAAAAAAGCCUCAACACAAAAUGAAAGAAAGCCAGUAGUCUGAAAAAAGUAGAAUGAAACAAACAGACAAACAAAAUAACCUUUGAGAACAGAGUAGGCCUCACUGCCUUCUCCUUUGUGGACUUGAAAGUGGAACAGGAAGCUGAGAUCCAGGAUUCCACUGAUGGGGGACACCACAGAAAUCUACAACCUGUGAGAAUGCAGAGAAUGAGUGACCAUGGAAUGCCAGGUUCAACAGAUGCAUCUGCAACCUACCUUAUACCCAAGACUCAGGGAUCAUCACGGAAGAGGAAGUGGAAAGAUUAAAACCAACCAAGCAACCAACCAACCAAGCAACCACUUCUGAUGCCCUUGAUGCAGGUGCAGUUGUUUAAACAGUGACUGUGGUCAAAGGCUUUGGGUUCAAGUUCAAGAAUAGAAACAUCUCCCAUUGCAUCUGCCUGAGAUUCAGGCCUGCAAGGUCAUUAUCUUAAAACUUGCUUCCAGUUAGAGAGAUCAUAUUGGGUCCUCCUUGUGGUUGGGUAAGUGCUCCUGAGGAAGAUUGUUUAUUUUGUAUGAAAAGAGGAGGGGAUAUUGUAUUUUCCACAGCACUCUGCAUUUGCUUUUAUCAUGGAACAAUAGUGGGAAGAGAUGGUUAGAUUAAGUGAGGUCAGUCAUUUAGAUAUGGGAGGUCUUGUUCUAAGGGUCUCCUGAACUGACCAUUAGGCAGUGGUGGGGCAUAGGGUGAGGGGUGGUAGGUGUCCCUGAAAGUCUACUAAAGUGUCACCUACAAGUGCAGAGAAGUCUACAUAUUGAAUGACAGAUGCCCAAAUGAAAGUGCAAGUUUGGAAACGCCAGGCUUCUACAAAGUCAAAUCACAGUAACAGAAGCUUGCAAAUGCCUUUUCUGAAAUGUUUGGAGGAUAUCAGCAUCAGCAUAUCUAUAUAUACAUAUCUAUAUCUGUAUCUAUCUAUUAUAUAUCUAUUAUAUAUAUAUCGCUAUAUCAUCAUUAUCUAACUAUCUACCUAUCAAUCAUCAUCAUUAUCAUCACCACUAUUAUUGUUAUCUAUGCAUAACUCCAUUCUAUUUCUUCAUUUUUAACAGAAAAAAUAAGUGACAGUAGUUAAAACUAUGUUAUUUAUUAAGAAUUGAAGCUAACUGAUUUUUCUUUACCUUACUUAGGAAAUGGAAACUGACAGCUUCUUUUGGCUUUUUCUUCCUGCAUAAGGUGAAAAAAAAAACUGCAGGAGAAGCAGAGAGUAUGACAGAAACACAUUUAAAGAGACAUCUUUUCCAGGCCCAUACUCAAACCACUAACAAAUUGGUAAAUGCAUUUGAAAUGUCACUCUAAGCUGACACAGGUAAUGGUGGUCUGGCAUUGACGAAAGACCAUGGACUUGGGGAUUAGAUAUAUCUGUGUUUAGAUCUCUAAUAUGCCCAUUAGAUUAGUGUAACAGGAUAAGAACACAAUCCCCCUUCAGUGUUGCCUUUGGCUAGGGUCUCAAGACUAACUUCUAAUAGUAAGGGGAGACUAGGUCUACCAUGCAGGACAUUUAAAUGGAGUGCUCACAGUCAAUUUGGGGUCCUCAUUCUCCGACCACUGAAAUAAUGAAAGGAGUGAAUAGAAUCAGAGAAGGUUUUGUAUGGCAGGUUGGAAGACUUUUCUUUCCUCUCAAGUCUAGAAGAAGGUCUUUAAUGGAGCUACAAGUGAGCUUGACACAUGCCCCAGUAGACAAAAGUCUGAGUCAUAUCUAAAGAGUAGGAAGGAAGAAAGCUAGGACUACUUUCACUUUUGUCGGGAAGCUUGGGAAGAUGUCACAACAAAGGAAGGACUCUCACAACCGAGGUAAGAGACAAAUUUCUUUUUGAUGAAUAGUUGUGUGUGAGGAAACUGAUGUAAAGUUAUCUAAACUCUAGCUGUGAUGGUUCAAACGAAAAUGGUCCUCAUAGACUCAUAUAUGAAUACUUAGCCCCAAGUUGGAGGCACUGUUUGGGGAGGAUUAAGAAGUAUAGCUUUGACUAGCCCCCAGUCCUCUGGGGUACCCUAAGGUCCCCUGAGCCACCUGCUAUCCCUGGCAGAUCUCCAUUGUCAUGUCAACUCUCAGCCCACCAUCAUUAGUCCUGCUGAUUCUGAACUAUACAGCCCAAGGAUACCCAAAAAAGGCCAGCCACACCAGGAUCAUGAGGUUAGGGCCCUCCUAAUACCUACUACAACAGGAACAUCCAGGGACUAAAGCCAUCUGAUGGCUAAAGGUCCUUGAAAGAACAUAAUCAACAAAAUUCAGGGCAUUAUAGUACCCUCAGAGUACAGCUAUCCCACUACAUCAAGCCCUGGUUAUCUUAACACAACUGAAGCACAAGAAAAUGACCUUAAAUCCAACUUAUAAAGAUGAUAGAGAGCUUUAAAAAGGAUUUGAUGAAUAAUUCCCUUAAAGAAAUAUGAUCAAACAGGUAGAGACCUUUAAAGAGGAAACAAAUUCCUUAAAGAAAUAUAAGAAAAUACAUUCAAACAGAUGAAGGAAAUAAAUAAAACUGUCCAAGACCUGAUAAAAGAAUUAGAAGGAGUAAAGUAAAUGUAACCUGGGGGGAUCCUAGAGAUGGAAAACCUAGGAAAGAGAACAGGAACAACAGAUGCAAGCAUCACCAACAGAAUACAAGAGAUGAAAGAAUCUGAGAUAUAGAAGAUACAAUAGAAAAAAACCCCUGAUAAACCAAGUCAAAGGAAAUGUUAAAUCUAAAAAGUUCUUGACACAAAACACCCAGGAAAUCUGGGAUACCAUGAGAAGACCUAACCUAAGGAUAAUAGAAAUAGAAGGUGAAGAGACGCAGAUCCAAAGACCAGAAAAUACUUUCAACAAUAUAAUAGAAGAAAACUUUCCCAACCUAAAGAAAGAGAUGCCUAUAAAUAUACAAGAAGCUUAUAGAACACCAAUUAGCCUAGACCAGAAAAGAAAGCCCUCCCACCACAUGAUAAUAAGAACACAAAAUCUACAGAACAAAGAAAGAAUAUUAAAAGCAGCAAGGGAAAAAAGGUGAGGUAAAUAACUUCAGUGAAGAAAUGUUUCCAUCAAAUUGGCCUGUAGGCAAAUCUGUGGGAUAUUUUCUUGAUUAAUGAUUGAAGUGAGAAGGCCUAGCCUAUUGUUGAUGUGGUCACUAUAGGAAGGUGGUUUCAGUUUGUAUAAGAAAGGCAACAUAUCAAGCCAGAGAAAGCAAACCAGCUCCCACCUUGAGCUCUUGGAUUGAAUUUCCUUCAAAAUGGACUGUGAUUGGGAUGUAUAAACCAUAAGUCCUGUCUUCCCUUCAUUGCUUUCUGUCAUGGAGUUCUUUAUAAUAAUAGGAAUAUGGGUAAUCUGAAGCACAUUAAGACUCCUAUACAGUCACACCAGGGGCUGUAUAACAGUAUUGUCCCAGGAUAUUUCUGAAUGAGGCUGGUUGAAUAUUCACGUAUGGGGCAACCAAUGGCUAUGAAGAGUUGAUGAAUAUAAGAUACCAAAGCUAAAGCAGGGCAUUACUGAGGAAUAUUCAAGAAAAGUUAGAGAGGCAAACAGCCAAACAAAUAAUUAGAUAUGUAAAAUUCUACAUCUUUCCAUUUUCUACUUUCAAAACCAACUGCACAUAGGCACUGGAGUCUUUUUCCUUUGUCUCUUAAAAAAUGGGAUAGAUUUCUUUCUAAACAGAUACACAAUCAUAUAAGAUUGUGGUUUAUAUGAUAUAGUUUAUUUGCUAAUUAUAUACAUUAGCAGGAUGCCAUGUCAUGUUUCAACACAUGCACACAUUAUGUAUCACGUUAACAUCAUAAUAAACAUAGCUAUCUCCCCAAACUUGUCUUUUCUUAUGGUAAAAUCUUUCAAAAGCCCCUGGUCUAGGUUUUUAAGAUGAUGUGUGGCACAUAACUGUUCUCCACAGUCACUUGCACUGGCACCAGAACUUUCCAUUCCUACCUAACAGUAGCUUCGUGCCCACUGAUUAGCCUUCACAUACUUCCCUUGACCCGUGGCUCCAGUCUCUGACAGUAGCCAUUCUACUCUCUGCUUAUCUGAGGUUGACUUUUUACCUAUUACACAAGUGACUGAGGUCAUGCAGAGCCUGUCUUUUGUGUCUGGAUUAUUUUUAUUUAAUAUAACUAUCUCCAGUACCAUCCAUGGUGUUACACAUGACGAUAUUUUAUCUUUUUUAAAAAAGUAGAUGAAUUGUGUUCCACUGAGCGCACAUACAACAUUUUUCCUUUAUUUGUUCAUCAGCUGAUGGACACCUAGUGUUAUCCCUUGAUGAAAUGCUCCCUGUAGGCUCAUGUGUUUGAACACUAGGUCCCAAGCCAGUGGUAUUGCUAGGGGAGGUUAUAGGAUCUUUAUGAAGAGGGAGUGGGGAUCACUGGAGAAAGUGAGUCUCCGGAGGUGGGGUGUAUGGGUUAUAACCCUAUUCUAGUUCCUAUGCUGAGUCUUUUCUGCUUUCUAUCAGGCGCCUACAUGUGAGUCACAAACCCAGAAAUCAUGUGUCUGCCUCUAUGCUACUACACCUAGCCUAGCUUGAAUCCAGCAGCAAAAAGAAAUCCUUCCUUAUACCGCUUUCUGCCAUAUGUGCUGUCAUAAUAAGAAAAGAUGAUGACGGGGAAGCUGAAGGAUCAAGGACGAGGCCAGUCAGAUCUGCCCAGCAAAAAGGAAACUUGCAAGCGAAGGUUUCAAACCCACUGAAGACAAGAGGAGUGGACAUGCCUGGAACUACCACCCUGGAUGGUGACAAAGAGGUCCAGCAGAGUCAUCGACCAUGCCAGUUCACAGAACCAGAAGUUCAACUUCCCAGGCAUCAUAAGAAGGAAGCAGGCUGCCCUCAGAAAGGGUAUUAGAAUGUGGCGUCUUGACUGACCCAUAGGUUCAUAUAUUUGAAUGCUUCAUGGAACUGUUUGGGGAAAGAUUAAGAGGUGCGGCCUUGUUGGAGGAGGUGUGUCACAGAGGGCAUGCUCUGAGGUUUCAAAAACACACACCAAGCUCAGUCUUUCUCUGUGCCUCCCUCCAACUUGUGGAUAAGAUGUAAGCUACAGUCGCUGUUCCAGCACCAUGCCAAUCUAUGCUCCCUGCCCUGUUGGCCCUGGGCUUCUGGAACUGUGACCCCCUCACCCCCCAAAUUAAAUGUCUUCUUUUAUAAGUUGUCUUGGUCACGGUGUCUUUUCACAUUAGUAAAAUGUAACCAAGACACAGACGUCUUGGACAGAGGACUGCAAUGUGUGGUUACUCAGGCUAGGGUUUGGCUCUAACUGGCCAUUGGCUGUCUGUCUGGAUGACCUUGGGGACCUGGCCAGCCCCCUGAGAGUUAUGUUAUGGCUACGAUGACAGUGACAAGACCCAGUAGAGCUGCCUCCGUGAGAUCAUGAGCAGGUCAGGCACUUAGUCAACGUGAGAUUCUCCUUAGUCUGUGGGAGGUAGUAAGAAUGAUUUUCCCUAAGCCUUUGAGGUUCCACCUACAUUUAGUCAGGUUUCCCUGGGGUGGGGAGUAUGAGGAACUUAGCAAAUUGUAAUUCAAGGCAUGAUUAUGAUCUUGUUCUCUGCUGCUUUGCCAAGAGUGACACCCGGCACACCGCUCCUCUCAGUGCUAGAAUGAAUGACCCACUUAGGUGUUAUCGUCAGGCCGCUCUGAAUAAACCUGUGCCCUGGGCACCUGCGAGUCACUGUCAUUUGAGUCAUCUCCUCUUUUGGGUUGGUAGUUUUCCACAAAGGCCCGCCACAUCGCAAGUUCACGACCAGCUCUCGGAUCUCACAUCAUGCUAUUCAUGUUAAUAUGCACAUAAAGCCUGAGUUAAAAACCAUGUUUUCCUGUAAAGUAGGAAACAGAGUUUUGUUGGAUCGGUUAGAAAUAACCGGCCACUGGAAACUUACUUAAUUGGCAAUUUUCUAUGAUUUCUUGGCAAUCAUCCUGUUUGCUCAGAAGAUUUUGCAAGGUGAGCAGAAGCCGCAAAUAGAGUUCAGAUGUAAUAAAAUCCUCAGGAAAACGAAGUUGAGCAGUUAGCAAGGUUAAAAUGCUGUUACAUUUUAGCAAUAAGUAUCUAUUAAUUUGUAUUUUUCCAGUUUCUUUUUUUGGUUCUUUUUUUUUCAGAGCUGGGGACCGAACCCAGGGCCUUGCGCUUCCUAGGCAAGUGCUCUACCACUGAGCUAAAUCCCCAACCCCCAGUUUCUUUUUUUAUAUUUGGAAGUCGGUGGCUUUAUAUCCUGGCCUCCGACAUUUUUGAAGUCACCAAAGGACUCAUAUAGAUGGAGACCGAGGAUGGAAGGUUUUAUGGAUGAAAUGCCUUUGAAGGAGUAUGGAUUUAACAUGCCUAUGACUUAACUCUUACCCAGGGUAGGUCUGUUUGCCACCUUGAAGGAGCAAUGACAUCUUAGGACACCUCCUAAUUCUUGCCUCUACUCUCUUCAUCCCUAUUUCUCCUUCUGGUAGCUUCUUUCCUGCCCAUGUCCACUUUGUUUUCAUACUCAGCAUUAAAACCUGUCCUAUUAUAUUAUGUAAAUCAAGGCCAAGUUCCUGGUUAAUAGUGUACCAAUCUCUAUUAUUCGAGUCUUGCAGGGGGAGGCAAAGUCAUUUUGCAUUCCCUGCAAAAGGAGGUCAGCGAAUGUGAGUUGAGGGUAAUAAACAGCAGAUCAACUCUUUGGGUCAACUCUAAGGUGGCUUCCCUUCUCAGGCUGUGCUUGUGAUAGGAGAGGGUCAGCAUCCAGAAGUCACAGGCUCUCUCUUCUCAAACUGCCACUGGCCUCCUGCUGCUCUAGUUUUAGAGAGCAUGUGGCACAAUAAGGUGGAGGAAGACAGAAGACAGGGCUGCCAUUUGAAGACACAUUUACCUAAUUGUCCCAUCAGAUUCUUGCUAUCAGAUGAGGGCUGAGGAUCAUCUACAACCUGGGGCUUGUCAGAAGUUCAGGGAUUCAUGUUCCAUUCAGACUUGGCCAAGGAGUAACUUCACUUUAGCAGCUCCUGGCUGAAUGUAUGGGGAGCUAAAGGAUAAAGGAACCGUGGACUGAGCAUUGACGCCCAGAAUGUCCACUGGUCCAGUUCGUAGCUCUUCAUCUGCUCUCAAAACAGGCACCCCGUCCUAGAGCUGCUACAUAGCUGGGGGUGUUUUAAACAGAAUUUCAUGACA
Non-coding RNA from Rattus norvegicus (Norway rat), 7405 nucleotides. The record is from RefSeq and is a predicted model, not a curated record. Lineage: Eukaryota; Metazoa; Chordata; Mammalia; Rodentia; Muridae.